This 568-nucleotide ribosomal RNA is filed under the name Phialocephala cf. fortinii ARSL 170507.44. RNAcentral's name for it is "eukaryotic LSU rRNA". The stretch from base 205 to 358 matches the Rfam family "5.8S ribosomal RNA". Lineage: Eukaryota; Fungi; Ascomycota; Leotiomycetes; Helotiales; Mollisiaceae. The record is from RNAcentral.
UCCGUAGGUGAACCUGCGGAAGGAUCAUUACAAGUGAGGCUACCGAACGUUGGAAACAGCGGUUAGGAGCUUACACCCACCCGUGUUUACAUACUAUUGUUGCUUUGGCGGGCCGUGGCCUCCACUGCGGGCUCUGCUCGUGUGUGCCCGCCAGAGAACCAAACUCUGAAUGUUAGUGAUGUCUGAGUACUAUCUAAUAGUUAAAACUUUCAACAACGGAUCUCUUGGUUCUGGCAUCGAUGAAGAACGCAGCGAAAUGCGAUAAGUAAUGUGAAUUGCAGAAUUCAGUGAAUCAUCGAAUCUUUGAACGCACAUUGCGCCCUGUGGUAUUCCGCAGGGCAUGCCUGUUCGAGCGUCAUUUAACCACUCACGCCUAGCGUGGUAUUGGGGCACGCGGUCUCGCGGCCCUCAAAAUUAGUGGCGGCGCCGGUGGGCUCUAAGCGUAGUACAUACUCCCGCUAUAGAGUUUCUCCGGUGGCUCGCCAGAACCCCCAAUUUUUUUUUUACAGGUUGACCUCGGAUCAGGUAGGGAUACCCGCUGAACUUAAGCAUAUCAAUAAGCGGAGGA